This 466-nucleotide ribosomal RNA is filed under the name uncultured bacterium. RNAcentral's name for it is "partial 16S ribosomal RNA". It matches the Rfam family "Bacterial small subunit ribosomal RNA", at positions 28 to 506 of the family's 1533-position model. The record is from RNAcentral.
GAUGAACGCUGGCGGCGUGCUUAACACAUGCAAGUCGAACGAUGAUGCCCAGCUUGCUGGGUGGAUUAGUGGCGAACGGGUGAGUAACACGUGAGUAACCUGCCCUUGACUCUGGGAUAAGCCUGGGAAACUGGGUCUAAUACCGGAUACGACCAUCUGGCGCAUGUCAUGGUGGUGGAAAGCUUUUGUGGUUUUGGAUGGACUCGCGGCCUAUCAGCUUGUUGGUGGGGUAAUGGCCUACCAAGGCGACGACGGGUAGCCGGCCUGAGAGGGUGACCGGCCACACUGGGACUGAGACACGGCCCAGACUCCUACGGGAGGCAACAGUGGGGAAUAUUGCACAAUGGGCGCAAGCCUGAUGCAGCGACGCCGCGUGAGGGAUGACGGCCUUCGGGUUGUAAACCUCUUUCAGUAGGGAAGAAGCGAAAGUGACGGUACCUGCAGAAGAAGCGCCGGCUAACUACGU